CUGGGAGGACCAUCUCCUAAGGCUAAAUACUCUCUAGUGACCGAUAGUGAACCAGUACCGUGAGGGAAAGGUGAAAAGCACCCCGGAAGGGGAGUGAAAUAGAACCUGAAACCGUGUGCUUACAAGUAGUCAGAGCCCGUUAAUGGGUGAUGGCGUGCCUUUUGUAGAAUGAACCGGCGAGUUACGAUUUGAUGCAAGGUUAAGCAGUAAAUGUGGAGCCGUAGCGAAAGCGAGUCUGAAUAGGGCGUUUAGUAUUUGGUCGUAGACCCGAAACCAGGUGAUCUACCCUUGGUCAGGUUGAAGUUCAGGUAACACUGAAUGGAGGACCGAACCGACUUACGUUGAAAAGUGAGCGGAUGAACUGAGGGUAGCGGAGAAAUUCCAAUCGAACCUGGAGAUAGCUGGUUCUCUCCGAAAUAGCUUUAGGGCUAGCCUCAAGUGAUGAUUAUUGGAGGUAGAGCACUGUUUGGACGAGGGGCCCCUCUCGGGUUACCGAAUUCAGACAAACUCCGAAUGCCAAUUAAUUUAACUUGGGAGUCAGAACAUGGGUGAUAAGGUCCGUGUUCGAAAGGGAAACAGCCCAGACCACCAGCUAAGGUCCCAAAAUAUAUGUUAAGUGGAAAAGGAUGUGGCGUUGCCCAGACAACUAGGAUGUUGGCUUAGAAGCAGCCAUCAUUUAAAGAGUGCGUAAUAGCUCACUAGUCGAGUGACACUGCGCCGAAAAUGUACCGGGGCUAAACAUAUUACCGAAGCUGUGGAUUGUCCUUUGGACAAUGGUAGGAGAGCGUUCUAAGGGCGUUGAAGCAUGAUCGUAAGGACAUGUGGAGCGCUUAGAAGUGAGAAUGCCGGUGUGAGUAGCGAAAGACGGGUGAGAAUCCCGUCCACCGAUUGACUAAGGUUUCCAGAGGAAGGCUCGUCCGCUCUGGGUUAGUCGGGUCCUAAGCUGAGGCCGACAGGCGUAGGCGAUGGAUAACAGGUUGAUAUUCCUGUACCACCUAUAAUCGUUUUAAUCGAUGGGGGGGACGCAGUAGGAUAGGCGAAGCGUGCGAUUGGAUUGCACGUCUAAGCAGUAAGGCUGAGUAUUAGGCAAAUCCGGUACUCGUUAAGGCUGAGCUGUGAUGGGGAGAAGACAUUGUGUCUUCGAGUCGUUGAUUUCACACUGCCGAGAAAAGCCUCUAGAUAGAAAAUAGGUGCCCGUACCGCAAACCGACACAGGUAGUCAAGAUGAGAAUUCUAAGGUGAGCGAGCGAACUCUCGUUAAGGAACUCGGCAAAAUGACCCCGUAACUUCGGGAGAAGGGGUGCUCUUUAGGGUUAACGCCCAGAAGAGCCGCAGUGAAUAGGCCCAAGCGACUGUUUAUCAAAAACACAGGUCUCUGCUAAACCGUAAGGUGAUGUAUAGGGGCUGACGCCUGCCCGGUGCUGGAAGGUUAAGAGGAGUGGUUAGCUUCUGCGAAGCUACGAAUCGAAGCCCCAGUAAACGGCGGCCGUAACUAUAACGGUCCUAAGGUAGCGAAAUUCCUUGUCGGGUAAGUUCCGACCCGCACGAAAGGCGUAACGAUUUGGGCACUGUCUCAACGAGAGACUCGGUGAAAUCAUAGUACCUGUGAAGAUGCAGGUUACCCGCGACAGGACGGAAAGACCCCGUGGAGCUUUACUGUAGCCUGAUAUUGAAAUUCGGCACAGCUUGUACAGGAUAGGUAGGAGCCUUUGAAACGUGAGCGCUAGCUUACGUGGAGGCGCUGGUGGGAUACUACCCUAGCUGUGUUGGCUUUCUAACCCGCACCACUUAUCGUGGUGGGAGACAGUGUCAGGCGGGCAGUUUGACUGGGGCGGUCGCCUCCUAAAAGGUAACGGAGGCGCUCAAAGGUUCCCUCAGAAUGGUUGGAAAUCAUUCAUAGAGUGUAAAGGCAUAAGGGAGCUUGACUGCGAGACCUACAAGUCGAGCAGGGUCGAAAGACGGACUUAGUGAUCCGGUGGUUCCGCAUGGAAGGGCCAUCGCUCAACGGAUAAAAGCUACCCCGGGGAUAACAGGCUUAUCUCCCCCAAGAGUUCACAUCGACGGGGAGGUUUGGCACCUCGAUGUCGGCUCAUCGCAUCCUGGGGCUGUAGUCGGUCCCAAGGGUUGGGCUGUUCGCCCAUUAAAGCGGUACGCGAGCUGGGUUCAGAACGUCGUGAGACAGUUCGGUCCCUAUCCGUCGUGGGCGUAGGAAAUUUGAGAGGAGCUGUCCUUAGUACGAGAGGACCGGGAUGGACAUACCUCUGGUGUACCAGUUGUCGUGCCAACGGCAUAGCUGGGUAGCUAUGUGUGGACGGGAUAAGUGCUGAAAGCAUCUAAGCAUGAAGCCCCCCUCAAGAUGAGAUUUCCCAACUUCGGUUAUAAGAUCCCUCAAAGAUGAUGAGGUUAAUAGGUUCGAGGUGGAAGCAUGGUGACAUGUGGAGCUGACGAAUACUAAUCGAUCGAAGACUUAAUCAA
This 2475-nucleotide ribosomal RNA is filed under the name Staphylococcus aureus. Its description in RNAcentral is "partial 23S ribosomal RNA". It matches the Rfam family "Bacterial large subunit ribosomal RNA", at positions 444 to 2925 of the family's 2925-position model. Lineage: Bacteria; Bacillati; Bacillota; Bacilli; Caryophanales; Staphylococcaceae. The record is from RNAcentral.